CACAAGUAUGGUCCCCGCUUUCAUAUCAGCUCUAACUAUAUUUACACAUGCAAGUAUCCGCAUCCCAGUGAGAAUGCCCUCAACACCCAACCGGAUUAGAGGAGCAGGUAUCAGGCACGCACAACGCAGCCCAUAACGCCUUGCUUAGCCACACCCCCAAGGGUAUCCAGCAGUGAUUAACAUUAAACAUUAGCGAAAGCUCGAUUUAGUUAAAGUUAAGAGAGUCGGUAAAACUCGUGCCAGCCACCGCGGUUAUACGAGAGACUCAAGUUGAUACUUACGGCGUAAAGCGUGAUUAUAGGAUACUACAAAACUAAAGUCAAACCCACUCAAAGCCGUUAUACGCCCAUCGAGAAGAGUAAGCCCAAAAACGAAAGUAACUUUAACAAAAUUCACCUAGACCACACGACAGCUGGGAAACAAACUGGGAUUAGAUACCCCACUAUGCCCAGUCAUAAACCUUGAUAAUAAUGUACAAAUAUUAUCCGCCAGGGAACUACAAGCGCAUUGCUCGAAACCCAACGGACUUGGCGGUGCCCCACACCCACCUAGAGGAGCCUGUUCUAUAACUGACACUCCCCGUUUAACCUCACCAUCCCUAGCCAAAUCAGUCUAUAUACCACCGUCGCAAGCUCACCCUAUGAAGGACCAACAGUAAGCAAAAUGGGCACAACCCAGCACGUCAGGUCGAGGUGUAGCACAUGGGAUGGAAAGAAAUGGGCUACAUUCUCUGCCUAACAGAGUACACGAACACUACCAUGAAACUGGAAAUUGAAGGAGGAUUUAGCAGUAAAAAGAAAAUAGAGAGUUCUUUUGAAGCUGGCCCUGGGGCGCGCACACACCGCCCGUCACUCUCCACUACAACUAUUUUCUACAGGAAAAUACCAAAACAAAACUUAAUAAUACAAAUUCAACAAAACCAGUGGAGACAAGUCGUAACACGGUAAGUGUACCGGAAGGUGCACUUGGAACAAU
This 975-nucleotide non-coding RNA is filed under the name Gymnarchus niloticus. RNAcentral's name for it is "12S rRNA". It matches the Rfam family "Bacterial small subunit ribosomal RNA". Lineage: Eukaryota; Metazoa; Chordata; Actinopteri; Osteoglossiformes; Gymnarchidae. The record is from RNAcentral.